Molecule: transfer-messenger RNA, 574 nt
Filed under: Trichoderma hunanense
Lineage: Eukaryota; Fungi; Ascomycota; Sordariomycetes; Hypocreales; Hypocreaceae
Description: partial tmRNA
Rfam family: 5.8S ribosomal RNA (bases 202-355)
Source: RNAcentral
CCGAGUUUACAACUCCCAAACCCAAUGUGAACGUUACCAAACUGUUGCCUCGGCGGGAUCUUCUGCCCCGGGUGCGUCGCAGCCCCGGACCAAGGCGCCCGCCGGAGGACCAACUCCAAAACUCUUUUGUAUACCCCCUCGCGGGUUUUUUAUAUCUGAGCCAUCUCGGCGCCUCUCGUAGGCGUUUCGAAAAUGAAUCAAAACUUUCAACAACGGAUCUCUUGGUUCUGGCAUCGAUGAAGAACGCAGCGAAAUGCGAUAAGUAAUGUGAAUUGCAGAAUUCAGUGAAUCAUCGAAUCUUUGAACGCACAUUGCGCCCGCCAGUAUUCUGGCGGGCAUGCCUGUCCGAGCGUCAUUUCAACCCUCGAACCCCUCCGGGGGGUCGGCGUUGGGGAUCGGCCCUUUACGGGGCCGGCCCCGAAAUACAGUGGCGGUCUCGCCGCAGCCUCUCCUGCGCAGUAGUUUGCACACUCGCAUCGGGAGCGCGGCGCGUCCAUUGCCGUAAAACACCCAACUUUCUGAAAUGUUGACCUCGGAUCAGGUAGGAAUACCCGCUGAACUUAAGCAUAUCAAA